RNAcentral lists this ribosomal RNA (253 nucleotides) under uncultured bacterium. RNAcentral describes it as "partial 16S ribosomal RNA". It matches the Rfam family "Bacterial small subunit ribosomal RNA", at positions 524 to 776 of the family's 1533-position model. The record is from RNAcentral.
UACGGGGGGGGCAAGCGUUGUUCGGAAUUACUGGGCGUAAAGGGCUCGUAGGCGGCCAACUAAGUCAGACGUGAAAUCCCCGGGCUUAACCUGGGAAUGGCGUUUGAAACUACGGAGCUGGAGUGUGGCAGAGGGAGGUAGAAUUCCACGUGUAGCGGUGAAAUGCGUAGAUAUGUGGAGGAAUACCGAUGGCGAAGGCAGCCUCCUGGGCCAACACUGACGCUCAUGCACGAAAGCGUGGGGAGCAAACAGG